GACGAACGCUGGCGGCGUGCCUAAUACAUGCAAGUUGAGCGCUGAAGGUUGGUACUUGUACCAACUGGAUGAGCAGCGAACGGGUGAGUAACGCGUGGGGAAUCUGCCUUUGAGCGGGGGACAACAUUUGGAAACGAAUGCUAAUACCGCAUAAAAACUUUAAACACAAGUUUUAAGUUUGAAAGAUGCAAUUGCAUCACUCAAAGAUGAUCCCGCGUUGUAUUAGCUAGUUGGUGAGGUAAAGGCUCACCAAGGCGAUGAUACAUAGCCGACCUGAGAGGGGGGUCGCCCACAUGGGAAGUGGAACGGGGCCAAAACGACUGAGGGAGGCAGCAGAAGGGAAUGUGCGGCAAUGGACGAAAGUCUGACCGAGUAGGCCGGCGGGAGUGGAAGAGGUUUUGGGUGCGGAAAACUCUGUUUGGAGGGAAAAACCGUGGUGGGAGGGGAAGAAUCGUCAGGGACGGUAAACGACAAAGAAGGGGCGGCUAAAUAAGGG
RNAcentral lists this ribosomal RNA (496 nucleotides) under uncultured bacterium. Its description in RNAcentral is "partial 16S ribosomal RNA". It matches the Rfam family "Bacterial small subunit ribosomal RNA", at positions 28 to 507 of the family's 1533-position model. The record is from RNAcentral.